This 253-nucleotide ribosomal RNA is filed under the name uncultured bacterium. Its description in RNAcentral is "partial 16S ribosomal RNA". It matches the Rfam family "Bacterial small subunit ribosomal RNA", at positions 524 to 776 of the family's 1533-position model. The record is from RNAcentral.
GACGAACCGUGCAAACGUUAUUCGGAUUCACUGGGCUUAAAGGGCGCGUAGGCGGGCUAUCAAGUCCGGGGUGAAAUACUCCAGCUUAACUGGAGAAUUGCCCCUGAUACUGGUAGUCUGGAGGGAAAUAGGGGUGUGUGGAACUUCCGGUGGAGCGGUGAAAUGCGUAGAUAUCGGAAGGAACGCCGGUGGCGAAAGCGACACACUGGAUUUCUCCUGACGCUGAGGCGCGAAAGCCAGGGGAGCAAACGGG